GUGUGCUCCAAGACGGCGGAAGGACACAGUAGGCUCAGUAAAGGUCCCUUUGAAAGAGCGGAGGAAUACGCUACCAAUAGAUUCUUACCUUAGUGUUUUAACUCCACAGGCCGAAGUGAGGUAUAGCAAGCCAUCCCGUUCGCCUCUGCAGUCUGUAUACCUCUCUCGGCGGCGGAGGAACAUCAUGGAGGACGUUCCAUGCAAGAUUCGAUGCGGAGGGAUACAUAUAUAAAUAAGAGCUGUUAGUAUAGUUUGAGAAUCCAAAAGAAAUCCGUUUUUUAAAAAUCAAUCCGCUUCUACAUCCAGCCCUUUAAAUAAACUGAAGUCGCCGCGGUGGAGGGACUGUUAGGCUACUUUGAGUUGGGUGGUUGGUAUUGGCCGCGUACGCCUCAGUUAUUGUAAGCUCCCACAAGUUGUAACCAGUCAAACCCAACUCAGCUGGCUAACCAUGGCAUCCACCAAGGCGCCAUAAAGCUCCUAUUUUUGCUGCUUUUAGGGGAGAGGUGUUUUUUAAAAAAAAUUAAUAAGGGGCAUUUCAAGCACUUAGAUUAGCCACACAAAGAACAUGGCUGAUAAGGGCUACUACACGCCGCAACCUUGCUUGGGCGAGGCAAAGUUCUGGCGACGCUUUAAUGCUUCUACGAAUUCUCUUUUCCUCAGACUCAAGGAUAGUGUUCUGCUUCAUGGGUGUUUUUUCCUUCCUUUAAAUUGAUCGAGAAAAGAGGUGAAGCACGCUAGAAAAGUGUCACCUUUGUAAGCAAAACAUCUGUUUAAGUCCUGCUUCUGGUGAGAAAACGAUGCUCACCAAUUUGGGUGUCAAGAGUGCCGUGCUUUCCGUGAAGGGGAAGGCCCUUGACAGUGUCCUGCCAGCUCAAAAUAUGCUAUUUGGUGCCACUAAACGUCAUUAAAGUCCUUCAAUGUGCCCUGAGAAUGACACUUAUCUUCAGUCUUGGGCUUGGCGUGUGUUGAUUCGAAUAAGAAGUUCAACAUUCUUUAACCAUUAAUCAAAUUUACGUAUGAAAAGCGGAGGGCAGCUAAUGUUUCUGUCUCCUUUCACUUCCACACCUAUGAAUAUCUAGUUGUGUGCACCUCCCCUUUCUUGUUUUGCAAACUUUACAGACAUUCUGAGCUGCUGCAGGUGCUUAAUUCUAAUAAAAGUCUUUUGUUUGCCUUUGCAAACUAACAUCUGAAGAAGCAAUGCACCCCACAGAAAGAAAGAAAACAUAUUGCAACUUUUCUAAACGCAUCUGCACCAAAGAUCAUCCUUGCUGCCUCCUUGCUAAACUCAGAGCCAGCAGCAUCUCCCUCCUUCACUUUUUCAGUUAUUGUAAUCUAAGAAAAAUUGGAGUUGCUAUAAUGUUUUUCACUACUUAAUAUUAACAUGGAAAUCAAGCCAGAUAAAGGGUGGGGAGCUUGACAAAAAUUAAGAAGGUAUAGGAAGAGUUAAGUUCCCCCUCCCCCCAAAAAUGUUCCCAAGGUCAUUACUACUAUAGAGCAAUUUUAGAAAUCUCUUGGUCCCCCAGGUUUAAACAUUUUAAAAACUGGUUUUAUGACAACUGUUUCUUUCAGUAAAAUCCUAGCAAAAGGUUGCCAGCUUUUUACUGGCUUUGCUUCUGUGCCUUUAAACAGCAGGCACAGUAUGAUGUAUGAUGAAAUGUGUUGGGUAAAGCUUUUCCCUGCAAGACAGAAUUAUAUGGAGAAAGCAUUAUUUGAAACAUUUAAAGGUACAAAAGCAGGGCCAGAAAAAAGUUAGCAACCCUAGGUCAAAACACUGAAUGGUAUCUGAAGGUCAUGUGAUUCAGCGUUACCAUUUUGAGUUGCUGCAUCUUGUCCACCCAGAAUGUAAAUAGACACCAACCUAAUCAUCGCUAUUUUGUUUAUGACAGGCAGGCUGCCUAAACAGAUGUGCUUUAACAGUAGCAGUCAAUAUGGAUUCAGAAUUGUGUGUGUUUAAUGUCUUUAAAUGCAAUUUUAGCAUUGUAUUCCUGUGAAUUAGGAUGGAUUCCUGUUGCACACAUAGUGCAGCAGUCCUUGCAAUUGCUCUUGAUCAUAACUAUGCCACACAUGAGGCUCAUCAGCUCAGCCUGCCCAGAGCUUGUGUGAGAAGGGGCAUAAAUGCUUGUGAACAAUAAUGCCUGUAAAGCAGACUUUUCAAACUGUCUAGCUUCAGGGAUCCCUUUCCAUAUAAUCUUGUCUGCUAUCACUCUGUGGGUGUCAGGAGUCAAAAUCGAUUUGAUGGCACACUUUACCUUUAUCACUCCAGAGAGCUGGACCAAUAGGAAAUGCUGCACUAGCAACUGUUUUUGUGGUAUUGACAAGCCUUAUAGUAUGGCAAUCACAUACUUGCUGUGACUCUGCCUAUUCAAAAGCUAAGGCUCUAAGCCUACUGCACCUCAUUAGCACUCCCACCACUGUGUCUUUCAAGCUAUCACACCUCAAAGCCAAACAAGUGUUCUCUUCCUUUUGAGAUUUUUUCAUUUGGUCUUUGAUGCUCUCUCAUAAUGAGGUUGGAUCCUAGUGGGCAUCUGGCUAUAGAAAAUGGGAUCUUAGGGUUCCCCUCUUACUGCUGCUGAGCUGAGGACUCUGCAGAGGAAUCCCAUCUCUGCAGGGAGUUCAUUUGGCUCUCCAUCCUCUAUUGAGUCUGCCCACUCUGGGAGUUGGUUCUUUGGUGACAGGAACUUCCUAGUCUGCUGUUUCAGAGGCAAGGUCUCUCCCAUCCUUUGAGGCGUUGACAGAGGUCCUGCUGUCUCAAGAAUAGGAAAGACUAUUAUUAGAAAGACUAGGAACCAUUUUCCUUUGUGAUGAAAAAGUUUCUUUUCAUUGACAUGUGCACACAGAAACUAUGAAUAAAACUAAAGACUCUU
Hemicordylus capensis (graceful crag lizard) is the source of this 2864-nucleotide long non-coding RNA. RefSeq lists it as uncharacterized. Lineage: Eukaryota; Metazoa; Chordata; Lepidosauria; Squamata; Cordylidae. The record is from RefSeq and is a predicted model, not a curated record. The transcript is spliced from 2 exons.